AAUUUAGCGAGGGUACCUCCACUUGAAUGACUGGUAAUUUACGAGUGAAGAAGAAAAAUGCGAGCAGACCUGGAGCACACGAAUUGAAAAACAAGUGAUGUCUUUUUAAAAGUCUAAAUUUAAAGAUAAUGCAAUAAUCACUUUACAUGUACAUUCAUUGUGUAUGUAAAAGAUAGAUUUUAUAUCAAUGUGAAUAAAUUGCCAGGAUAGGAGGAAAACAAAGCCUUCCCGCUGAAGGGGACUCACCAACACUUCCUGAAAUGAGUAAUUUUCCCAGGAACAAUAAGAAGUCCGUCGCCUUGUCAAGUACGGCCACCCUAAAAGCACAAAAACAACUUCUGAUGCAUCUGACAACAAGCUAAAUCUCAACACUGAACCCUUGAGGUCACUUCCUACUUCCAGCUCUCCUAAGUGCAAUGGCGAUCUGGAGCCGUUUCCUCAGGAAAAUCAGCAUAAUCACAAUGAUGGCCUCCAUCACGGACAGCGAGAUCACUUUAAGCACAAGCGGAAGCAUUUUGAACUGAGUUCAUUCUUUGCGUACAAGUUGGAAAACAGAGUUGAAUUGUUGCUUACUGAAGAUGAGCCACGUUUGGCUGAGUUUCAGGUAAAUGCUGAAGUCUGUCUGGAAGCCAAUGUCUGAGAUGGUGACGUUGGCGCCUGGCUUCCCGCUUAGCACACUGUACUCCCAGUAGCAGUGGCCGAUACCUGAGAGACACAUAAACAACACAACAGCUCACUAUGCUGAUAUAGGAAUCUUACUUUUAUAUCUCACAAAAAUGAGUACUGCCUGCACAUUUCACUAGUUGUAUUACGUCGCCUCAUGGGAUUAUACUAUGGAAGUAAAAUUUGCCAUCUUGGAGGUGUGUUGGGCAUAUUAUGUUGGAAAAUUUACAUGUGGCUCUGUUUCCCAAGGGCAGGGAUCAUGAAUAUCACAUAAUACAUGUUAGAAUUCACUUUUCUUAAAAUUAAUGUUAAAAUCUUGUGUGACGUCUCGUCUACUAUAUCCAUGUUCAUUUCUAUAGUACCGUCCUUGAGUAGCUACAAUGCCAGAAACAUGCUUCCUGAAAUGUGAGGCGUGUCCUCGCUUUUGUGUGCUCCUGUAUCAUGCGGAAUGUUUUGCUCACCGUAGCCGACCGCUGCAAUGACGCCAAAGAUGAUGAGCCACAACAGCACGCCAGCGGUGAAGCGCAGCAGCAGGAUGAAGAGUAGGCUGACCACCAUGGUUAUGACCAAAGCUCUGCAACAGUCACAACAAUAGCAUAUAGCAAACAUAUUUGCAAAAAUAUUGCCAACACCUAUCAGUAUGACGAAAAUGCAGUUUCACACCACUUGAUCUUAGAUACAGCCUCUAUAAUACAAUUAGAAUCACAUUACAAAAUGUUCAACAAUAGCAAGUUCCAUGGAAACUCACAUGAGGAUCCAAUCCCAAGAAUUUGCAUAAUCCUCAAAGAUCCUCAAGCUAAAUUCUUUGGCGUUUAGCAGACUGGAGAUACCGCUGUCAAGGGAGAGGAGGAAAGAAAGGGAAUUAGGAGGAGAUGAACAACAUACUGUAGUUUUGAAAGUGAAAUAAUCAUUUUAAAGCAGUUCUCAGCACUGGUAGGUUAUGCCAGCCAGUUCUAUGUCAAAGAAGCAGCACUAUGGUUACCAAAGCAUUACUUGAAUGUACUGCGUUUUCUUUGGACAAUUGCUUCAAGAAUUUGGGGAAGCUCCCUCUUUUGUUCCGAGUGGCACAAAGCAACUCCCAUGCUUGGGUGAAUUUGAUGCGGAAUAACUAGAACAAGGAUCGACCUCUGACCUCACAAGUGUUCUGUCUUCUGGAUAAAUUUCCUUUAAGUCGGAGGUGUCCAAAGUGCGGCAGGGGAGACAUUUUGCAAUUUAGCUGUUAUGUAUCUGGAAAAAGAUUAGAUACUAACAUCAUCAUAAUACUAUAUACUAUAACAUACUAAUAACACUAUUGCAAUAAAAAUACUAUGAUACUAAUAAUUUACAUUGGAUAGAGUGUUAGCAAACUCCAGCCUGGCUUUUUUUAUAUGUCUGUGUCACCUUUUAGUGCAAGCUGACACCGUUGUACCCUCUCUCUGCAGGUGAGCUUGAAUUCAUUUGGAAUGGAUCAAACUUGUUUAUUCACGUCCACGUCCAGGGAGGUUGGGCUAUAGUGCCAUGGGCUGUGAGCGUCUUGAUGAUGUUGCACACCAUAAACACAAGAACAUUUAGAUCUUGUGAUGUUUCAGUCACCUUUGCCCCAUUUUAACUGGCUGUGGUGUGGUUUCGAAAAUAAUUACACAUUUUUUUGUGCAAUUACCCGAUUUGGCUUUUUUCCUCUGCUUUUUUGU
This is a non-coding RNA of Doryrhamphus excisus (bluestripe pipefish), 2333 nucleotides long. NCBI's taxonomy places the organism in Eukaryota, Metazoa, Chordata, Actinopteri, Syngnathiformes, Syngnathidae. The record is from RefSeq and is a predicted model, not a curated record.